This 73-nucleotide transfer RNA is filed under the name Thermoplasmata archaeon. RNAcentral's name for it is "tRNA-Gln". It matches the Rfam family "tRNA". From Rfam's summary of the family: Transfer RNA (tRNA) molecules are approximately 80 nucleotides in length. Their secondary structure includes four short double-helical elements and three loops (D, anti-codon, and T loops). The record is from RNAcentral. RNAcentral also lists the same sequence under 1 other name. Lineage: Archaea; Methanobacteriati; Thermoplasmatota; Thermoplasmata.
AGCCCCGUAGUCUAGUGGCCAAGGAUGCGGGACUCUGGAUCCUGCGGCAUCGGUUCGAAUCCGGUCGGGGCUA